GUGCUCAUUGCAGCAGCACAUAUACUAAAAUGGGAACAAUGCACAGAAGAUUAGCAUGGGCCCUGUGCAAGGAUGACACACAAAUUCUUGAAAUAUUCCAUAGCAAA
Molecule: small nuclear RNA, 107 nt
Organism: Erinaceus europaeus (western European hedgehog)
Lineage: Eukaryota; Metazoa; Chordata; Mammalia; Eulipotyphla; Erinaceidae
Source: Ensembl